Molecule: long non-coding RNA, 206 nt
Filed under: Amborella trichopoda
Lineage: Eukaryota; Viridiplantae; Streptophyta; Magnoliopsida; Amborellales; Amborellaceae
Description: long non-coding RNA (ATRI_LNC001454)
Source: RNAcentral
GUAACUGGCCUGACAUGAUGGUUAGCCCAUUGUAGCAGUAAGAUGGGCACAGUAACUCAAACCGGUAUGGUGGUAAUAAUGCUCAAUCACAAGACUUCCAUGGUACUGCUAGACUUAACCUCCCUUAGUCAAACGGGAGAAAAAGAUAGAAGAAAAGAGAAGAGAGAUAAAGGAAAGAUAAGAGAGAAGAAAGAAAGAGAAAGCAG